UGACAUCACGCUGCAACCACGGUUUCCGUAAAAUAAUCGAAGUUAAGCAACGUCGAGCCUGGUCAGUACCUAGAUGGGUGACCGCUUGGGAAUACCAGGUGUUGUAUG
Non-coding RNA from Acanthosepion pharaonis, 108 nucleotides. Lineage: Eukaryota; Metazoa; Mollusca; Cephalopoda; Sepiida; Sepiidae. The record is from the annotation of a GenBank genome assembly.